GCCGCGGUAGUAUAGCCCGGUAAGUAUGCGGGCCUCUCAAGCCCGUGGCCCGGGUUCAAAUCCCGGCCGCGGCA
Molecule: transfer RNA, 74 nt
Filed under: Sulfurisphaera tokodaii str. 7
Lineage: Archaea; Thermoproteati; Thermoproteota; Thermoprotei; Sulfolobales; Sulfolobaceae
Description: tRNA-Glu
Rfam family: tRNA
About the family: Transfer RNA (tRNA) molecules are approximately 80 nucleotides in length. Their secondary structure includes four short double-helical elements and three loops (D, anti-codon, and T loops). Further hydrogen bonds mediate the characteristic L-shaped molecular structure. tRNAs have two regions of fundamental functional importance: the anti-codon, which is responsible for specific mRNA codon recognition, and the 3' end, to which the tRNAs corresponding amino acid is attached (by aminoacyl-tRNA synthetases). tRNAs cope with the degeneracy of the genetic code in two manners: having more than one tRNA (with a specific anti-codon) for a particular amino acid; and 'wobble' base-pairing, i.e. permitting non-standard base-pairing at the 3rd anti-codon position.
Source: RNAcentral